UAGCCAUGCUGGAGGUGAAGCAAAGCCUGAUCUGUGGAAACCUGGGAAUGGCAGUGCAGCAGCUGCUCAGGUGCCACCUGUGUGACACUGUCAGGACUCCUCCAAACUGCCAGCAAGGGAGAGGAGGAGCAGUUUGCAUAGCCUGAGGUAAUGAUGCCUUUGGUGCAGAGAGGAUGGGAGCUGGGAUGUACUUUAGGGUAGAGUCAGCUCAAUAAUUCAUGCUGUGAAGAAGCUGGGAAGGUGGAAAACAUCCCCUUACCUUGGUGAAGAAUGAAAAGAUUAAGGUGACAGCAUUUCCUGUGCAAAGGACUGCCAAGUGCCAAGCUGCUCAUGAAUGCUGCUCCCCACCAUGGUGAGUGCAUUGCCCUGCUUGCAGGAGAUAUUUGUGGAUUUGGGGUUUUGUAUUGUGGGCUUUGUGCUUAUGUGAUCCUCUCCUUGCUUUCAAAUGCCAGGAUUUAGAGGUGAGUACCUCUGUUUUAUCAUGGUGCAGUGAGUUGCCAACUUCCUGAGGGGAAGGAGUUUGGUUUCUGUUCACAGACAUUCUCUUCUUUACUGCUUGUCUCAAACAAUUUUUGUUCCAGUGAGUAAAUGAGCAGUGAAACAAGUAAUGAGAGGAGUGAAGGUGCAAACAGAAUAGCAAGAACAAAGUUUAGAAAUCAUUCCAAACAAACCUACC
Molecule: long non-coding RNA, 676 nt
Organism: Serinus canaria (Common canary)
Lineage: Eukaryota; Metazoa; Chordata; Aves; Passeriformes; Fringillidae
Exons: 3
Source: RefSeq, a predicted model, not a curated record